UACGGGGGGAGCAAGCGUUGUUCGGAUUUACUGGGCGUAAAGGGCGCGUAGGCGGUCGUGACAAGUCACUUGUGAAAUCUCCGGGCUUAACUCGGAACGGUCAAGUGAUACUGUCGGACUAGAGUACAGAAGGGGCAACUGGAAUUCUCGGUGUAGCGGUGAAAUGCGUAGAUAUCGAGAGGAACACCUGCGGCGAAGGCGGGUUGCUGGGCUGAUACUGACGCUGAGGCGCGAAAGCCAGGGGAGCAAACGGG
RNAcentral lists this ribosomal RNA (254 nucleotides) under uncultured bacterium. RNAcentral describes it as "partial 16S ribosomal RNA". It matches the Rfam family "Bacterial small subunit ribosomal RNA", at positions 524 to 776 of the family's 1533-position model. The record is from RNAcentral.